This is a long non-coding RNA of Zingiber officinale, 457 nucleotides long. RefSeq lists it as uncharacterized. Lineage: Eukaryota; Viridiplantae; Streptophyta; Magnoliopsida; Zingiberales; Zingiberaceae. The record is from RefSeq and is a predicted model, not a curated record. The transcript is spliced from 3 exons.
UGACUGACGGUAAAUAUAUAAUGAUCAUACCGAUGUAUAUUCCUCUUGUUCAAAAUCAGGUGAAUACCAUGGAAAUAAUCCAGAGAUGUCAUAAUUGCUACACAAAGCAAUUCGUCAAAAGAGUGAAUGCAUAUUCUAUUUACCAACAGCACCUUGCAAAUCAUCGUGUGAAUGCUCUCCGUGAUCUUCUUGAGUGCCUUUACCAAUUGGACGAGUUGAAUCUGCAUCAUCCAUUGCUUAGCGUUUCUACACUGGAAGAAUGUCUCUUGGAGCUAUUUCAAGGAAAACACAUGAAGCAAAUGCAAUGAACAGGUUAGGAGGGAAGUCAGAUUUUGUAGAAGGUGGUGAGGUCAGUUUAUAUGGAUCCCAUUUGAUGGAGUCCUCUAAUUGAUGUCAUUGAUGGGUAUUCUCCAACACUUCCUCAUCUUAAGGGCCUUCAAAAUGGAGAUACUGCUAC